GCGAACAUAGUUUAACCAAAACAUUAAGUUGUGGACUUAACAUUGAAGACUCACCCCCCUCUGUUUGCC
RNAcentral lists this transfer RNA (69 nucleotides) under Ptyodactylus guttatus (Sinai fan-fingered gecko). Its description in RNAcentral is "tRNA-His". The record is from RNAcentral. Lineage: Eukaryota; Metazoa; Chordata; Lepidosauria; Squamata; Phyllodactylidae.